RNAcentral lists this long non-coding RNA (329 nucleotides) under Olea europaea subsp. europaea. The record is from RNAcentral. Lineage: Eukaryota; Viridiplantae; Streptophyta; Magnoliopsida; Lamiales; Oleaceae.
CUAACUUGGGUUUUGAUGACUCUCUCUCCAGCUUUUGAAUUCCUCCUUCUCUCUCUAUUAGUUUUGAGUAUGUAAUCCUCGUGUAUAGGCUUGCUUGCGUAAUCGGUGGCCGUUGUAUUUGCCUGUUGUGCACCUCGUUUAUGGUGCUUGCGGUUGAGCGAGUUAAGGGUUGUUCUCGAGUCGUGUUUUAUGAGAUCCUCUUGAAUCUAUGACUAUAGCUGAUGGUUGAUUUGAUUCCUUUGUACAUGGAUUCCUCUGGAAGGCAUGGUAUUCACAGUGUUGGGCUGAUACUGAGUUCCUCAGAUUAGACCAUUUUAUUUUGAACUGGG